Long non-coding RNA from Oncorhynchus keta (chum salmon), 1067 nucleotides. RefSeq lists it as uncharacterized. The transcript is spliced from 3 exons. NCBI's taxonomy places the organism in Eukaryota, Metazoa, Chordata, Actinopteri, Salmoniformes, Salmonidae. The record is from RefSeq and is a predicted model, not a curated record.
UCCCUCCUUUCCUCCCUCCUUUCCUCCCCCUCCCUCCUUUCCUCCCUCCUUUCUACCUACACCUUGUUUACAAAUUAACCUGAUCAGAGGUGUUUGUUACAUAUCUCAGUUUUGUAUUUAUAAGAAGAAGAAAAAAUAUUCAGAAAUGCAACCCAUGAAAAAGGCAGUGGCAUCUGCAGGUUGUGGGAUUUAGCCCCAUCCUGCAGGUUCUGGGGGUUAAGUCCCAUCCAGUCUGCAGGUUGUGGGAUUUAGCACCAUCCUGCAGGUUCUGGGAGUUAAGUCCCAUCCAGUCUGCAGGUUGUGGGAUUUAGCCCCAUCCUGCAGGUUCUGGGGGUUAAGUCCCAUCCUGUAGGCAGGUUGUGGGAUUUAGCACCAUUCUGCAGAUUCUGGGGGUUAAGUCCCAUCCAGUCUGCAGGUUGUGGGAUUUAGCACCAUCCUGCAGGUUCUGGGGGUUAAGUCCCAUCCAGUCUGCAGGUUGUGGGAUUUAGCACCAUCCUGCAGGUUCUGGGGUUAAGUCCCAUCCAGUCUGCAGGUUGUGGGAUUUAGCACCAUCCUGCAGGUUCUGGGGUUAAGUCCCAUCCAGUCUGCAGGUUGUGGGAUUUAGCACCAUCCUGCAGGUUCUGGGGGUUAAGUCCCAUCCAGUCUGCAGGUUGUGGGAUUUAGCACCAUCCUGCAGGUUCUGGGGUUAAGUCCCAUCCAGUCUGCAGGUUGUGGGAUUUAGCACCAUCCUGCAGAUUCUGGGGGUUAAGUCCCAUCCAGUCUGCAGGUUGUGGGAUUUAGCACCAUCCUGCAGGUUCUGGGGUUAAGUCCCAUCCAGUCUGCAGGUUGUGGGGUUUAGCCCCAUCCUGCAGGUUCUGGGGGUUAAGACCCUGCCCUGUGUUUGCUGAACCAUCAGUGGGCAUGGCAACACGUAUCCUGGCUACACCACUGCGUGUCUCUGUCCCUACCCUCUACAUCCUCUGCUUCCAUAGGUGUUGUGAUGAGAUAGCCCCUCCCCUGUCCUUGUAUGUGCAUGCACGAUGGUUCUUCCACUUAACAAUAACAAUCAAUAAAGUUUGUCAAGAUAA